CAAGUCGAACGGCAGCACGGGUGCUUGCACCUGGUGGCGAGUGGCGAACGGGUGAGUAACAUAUCGGAACGUAUCCAAUAAUGGGGGAUAACUAAUCGAAAGGUUGGCUAAUACCGCAUACGCCCUACGGGGGAAAGCAGGGGAUCUUCGGACCUUGCGUUAAUGGAGCGGCCGAUAUCUGAUUAGCUAGUUGGUGGGGUAAAGGCCCACCAAGGCGACGAUCAGUAGCUGGUCUGAGAGGACGACCAGCCACACUGGAACUGAGACACGGUCCAGACUCCUACGGGAGGCAGCAGUGGGGAAUUUUGGACAAUGGGCGCAAGCCUGAUCCAGCCAUUCCGCGUGAGUGAAGAAGGCCUUCGGGUUGUAAAGCUCUUUCGCAAGGGAAGAAAACUUAUCUUCGAAUAAAGGAUGAGGCUGACGGUACCUUGAUAAGAAGCACCGGCUAACUACGUGCCAGCAGCCGCGGUAAUACGUAGGGUGCGAGCGUUAAUCGGAAUUACUGGGCGUAAAGCGUGCGCAGGCGGUUUUGUAAGUCAGAUGUGAAAUCCCCGGGCUCAACCUGGGAACUGCGUUUGAAACUACAAGGCUAGAGUGUAGCAGAGGGGGGUAGAAUUCCACGUGUAGCAGUGAAAUGCGUAGAGAUGUGGAGGAAUACCAAUGGCGAAGGCAGCCCCCUGGGUUAACGCUGACGCUCAUGCACGAAAGCGUGGGGAGCAAACAGGAUUAGAUACCCUGGUAGUCCACGCCCUAAACGAUGUCUACUAGUUGUUGGGAGAGUAAAAUCUCUUAGUAACGCAGCUAACGCGUGAAGUAGACCGCCUGGGGAGUACGGUCGCAAGAUUAAACUCAAAGGA
This 857-nucleotide ribosomal RNA is filed under the name uncultured Methylophilaceae bacterium. RNAcentral describes it as "bacterial SSU rRNA". It matches the Rfam family "Bacterial small subunit ribosomal RNA", at positions 58 to 908 of the family's 1533-position model. The record is from RNAcentral. Lineage: Bacteria; Pseudomonadati; Pseudomonadota; Betaproteobacteria; Nitrosomonadales; Methylophilaceae.